This 253-nucleotide ribosomal RNA is filed under the name uncultured bacterium. RNAcentral's name for it is "partial 16S ribosomal RNA". It matches the Rfam family "Bacterial small subunit ribosomal RNA", at positions 524 to 776 of the family's 1533-position model. The record is from RNAcentral.
UACGUAGGUGGCAAGCGUUGUCCGGAAUUAUUGGGCGUAAAGCGCGCGCAGGUGGUUUCUUAAGUCUGAUGUGAAAGCCCACGGCUCAACCGUGGAGGGUCAUUGGAAACUGGGGAACUUGAGUACAGAAGAGGAAAGUGGAAUUCCACGUGUAGCGGUGAAAUGCGUAGAGAUGUGGAGGAACACCAGUGGCGAAGGCGACUUUCUGGUCUGUAACUGACACUGAGGCGCGAAAGCGUGGGGAGCAAACAGG